GACGAACGCUGGCGGCGUGCUUAACACAUGCAAGUCGAACGGAAAGGCGCUGCUUUUGUUGGGUGCUCGAGUGGCGAACGGGUGAGUAACACGUGAGUAACCUGCCCUUGACUUUGGGAUAACUUCAGGAAACUGGGGCUAAUACCGGAUAGGAUCUCCUGCUGCAUGGUGGUGGUUGGAAAGUUUCGGCGGUGGGGGAUGGACUCGCGGGUUAUCAGCUUGUUGGUGUGGUAGUGGCUUACCAAGGCUUUGACGGGUAGCCGGCCUGAGAGGGUUACCGGCCACAUUGGGACUGAGAUACGGAGCAGACUGCUACGGGAGGCAGCAGUGGGGAAUCUUGCACAGUGGGGGGAAGUCUGAUGCAGCAACGCCGCGUGCGGGAUGACGGCCUUCGGGUUGUAAACAGAUUUCGCAUGUGACGAAGCGUGCGUGACGGUAAUGGGUCAAGAAGCACCGGCUAACUACGUG
RNAcentral lists this ribosomal RNA (468 nucleotides) under uncultured bacterium. RNAcentral describes it as "partial 16S ribosomal RNA". It matches the Rfam family "Bacterial small subunit ribosomal RNA", at positions 28 to 507 of the family's 1533-position model. The record is from RNAcentral.